Molecule: microRNA precursor, 141 nt
Filed under: Zostera marina
Lineage: Eukaryota; Viridiplantae; Streptophyta; Magnoliopsida; Alismatales; Zosteraceae
Description: mir-166 microRNA precursor family
Rfam family: mir-166 microRNA precursor family
About the family: This family represents the plant microRNA (miRNA) precursor mir-166.
Source: Rfam by way of RNAcentral
GUUGAGGGGAAUGUUGUUUGGCUCGAGGUUUCUUCUUCCUCACUCCGUUUCUCAAUCGAUCGAUCGAUCGACCGACCGAGAUUUGUGAGGAUCAACGGAGAGAAUCGUAUAGAUCUCGGACCAGGCUUCAUUCCCCCCAAU